This is a non-coding RNA of Mustela erminea (ermine), 423 nucleotides long. Lineage: Eukaryota; Metazoa; Chordata; Mammalia; Carnivora; Mustelidae. The record is from the annotation of a RefSeq genome assembly.
GGAGCCCCAGGCCUGGGAUUUCCACGUGUCCACAUUCACUGAUCAGGACAGAACACAGAGAACUCACCAUGGACUUUGUGCUUGGCUGGGUUUUCCUUGCUGUUCUUUUAAAAGGUGUCGAGUGUGAGGUGCAGCUGGUGGAGUCUGGGGGAGACCUGGUGAAGCCUGGGGGGUCCCUGAGACUCUCCUGUGCAGCCUCUGGAUUCACCUUCAGUAGCUACUGGCAUGCACUGGGUCCGCCAGGCUCCAGGGAAGGGGCUGGAGUGGGUGGCAGUUAUAUGGUAUGAUGGAAGUAGCACAUACUACGCAGACUCUGUGAAGGGCCGAUUCACCAUCUCCAGAGACAACGGCAAGAAUAUGCUGUAUCUGCAGAUGAACAGCCUGAGAGCUGAGGACACGGCCGUGUAUUACUGUUCAAGAGAU